Molecule: ribosomal RNA, 524 nt
Filed under: uncultured archaeon
Lineage: Archaea
Description: bacterial SSU rRNA
Rfam family: Archaeal small subunit ribosomal RNA
Source: RNAcentral
CACCGGCAGCUCUAGUGGUAACAAUUUUAUUGGGCCUAAAGCGUCCGUAGCCGGUUUAAUAAGUCUCUGGUGAAAUCCUGUAAGCUUAACUGUGGGAAUUGCUGGAGAUACUAUUAGACUUGAGACCGGGAGAGGUUAGAGGUACUCCCAGGGUAGAGGUGAAAUUCUGUAAUCCUGGAAGGACCGCCUGUUGCGAAGGCGUCUAGCUGGAACGGUUCUGACGGUGAGGGACGAAAGUUAGGGGCGCGAACCGGAUUAGAUACCCGGGUAGUCCUAACUGUAAACGAUGCGGACUUGGUGUUGGGGUGGCUUUGAGCUGCUCCAGUGCCGAAGGGAAGCUGUUAAGUCCGCCGCCUGGGAAGUACGGUCGCAAGACUGAAACUUAAGGAAUUGGCGGGGGAGCACCACAACGCGUGGAGCCUGCCGGUUUAAUUGGAUUCAACGCCGGACAUCUCACCAGAGGCGACAGCUGUAUGAUAGCCAGGUUGAUGACUUUGCUUGACUAGCUGAGUGGUGGUGCAUGG